Molecule: ribosomal RNA, 465 nt
Filed under: uncultured bacterium
Lineage: Bacteria
Description: partial 16S ribosomal RNA
Rfam family: Bacterial small subunit ribosomal RNA
Source: RNAcentral
CCUACGGGAGGCAGCAGUAGGGAAUCUUCCACAAUGGGCGAAAGCCUGAUGGAGCAACGCCGCGUGGGUGAAGAAGGUCUUCGGAUCGUAAAACUCUGUUGUUAGAGAAGAAAGUGCGAGAGAGUAACUGUUCACGUCUCGACGGUAUCUAACCAGAAAGCCAGGGCUAACUACGUGCCAGCAGCCGCGGUAAUACGUAGGUGGCAAGCGUUAUCCGGAUUUAUUGGGCGUAAAGGGAACGCAGGCGGUCUUAUAAGUCUGAUGUGAAAGCCUUCGGCUUAACCGGAGUAGUGCAUUGGAAACUGGGGGACUUGAGUGCAGAAGAGGAGAGUGGAACUCCAUGUGUAGCGGUGAAAUGCGUAGAUAUAUGGAGGAACACCAGUGGCGAAAGCGGCUCUCUGGUCUGUAACUGACGCUGAGGUGCGAAAGCGUGGGGAGCAAACAGGAUUAGAUACCCUAGUAGUC